GAGUCUGUAGAUCAAUGGGCGAUCGCCUCUCACACAGGAGGCGGUGGGUUCAACCCCCACCAGAUCCA
RNAcentral lists this transfer RNA (68 nucleotides) under Planktothricoides sp. SR001. It matches the Rfam family "tRNA". From Rfam's summary of the family: Transfer RNA (tRNA) molecules are approximately 80 nucleotides in length. Their secondary structure includes four short double-helical elements and three loops (D, anti-codon, and T loops). The record is from Rfam by way of RNAcentral. RNAcentral also lists the same sequence under 3 other names. Lineage: Bacteria; Bacillati; Cyanobacteriota; Cyanophyceae; Oscillatoriales; Oscillatoriaceae.